Pristionchus pacificus is the source of this 64-nucleotide non-coding RNA. The record is from Rfam. Lineage: Eukaryota; Metazoa; Nematoda; Chromadorea; Rhabditida; Neodiplogasteridae.
UCUUCAUUUCGCACACUCUCUCACCGGUCAGAGUGAGGCCGAGAGAGUGUGUGAAAUGAAGAGA